GCGGGCGUGGAGCAGCACGGUUAGCUCGUCACCCUGUCAAGGUGAAGGUCGCGGGAUCGAAGCCCGUCGCCCGCG
Molecule: transfer RNA, 75 nt
Filed under: Actinomycetota bacterium
Lineage: Bacteria; Bacillati; Actinomycetota
Also listed under: 1 other name
Description: tRNA-Asp
Rfam family: tRNA
About the family: Transfer RNA (tRNA) molecules are approximately 80 nucleotides in length. Their secondary structure includes four short double-helical elements and three loops (D, anti-codon, and T loops). Further hydrogen bonds mediate the characteristic L-shaped molecular structure. tRNAs have two regions of fundamental functional importance: the anti-codon, which is responsible for specific mRNA codon recognition, and the 3' end, to which the tRNAs corresponding amino acid is attached (by aminoacyl-tRNA synthetases). tRNAs cope with the degeneracy of the genetic code in two manners: having more than one tRNA (with a specific anti-codon) for a particular amino acid; and 'wobble' base-pairing, i.e. permitting non-standard base-pairing at the 3rd anti-codon position.
Source: RNAcentral